GACAGAGGGUGCAAACGUUGUUCGGAAUUAUUGGGCGUAAAGCGCGCGCAGGCGGUCCUUUAAGUCUGAUGUGAAAGCCCACGGCUCAACCGUGGAGGGUCAUUGGAAACUGGGGGACUUGAGUGCAGAAGAGGAAAGCGGAAUUCCACGUGUAGCGGUGAAAUGCGUAGAGAUGUGGAGGAACACCAGUGGCGAAGGCGGCUUUCUGGUCUGUAACUGACGCUGAGGCGCGAAAGCGUGGGGAGCAAACAGG
This 253-nucleotide ribosomal RNA is filed under the name uncultured bacterium. RNAcentral describes it as "partial 16S ribosomal RNA". It matches the Rfam family "Bacterial small subunit ribosomal RNA", at positions 524 to 776 of the family's 1533-position model. The record is from RNAcentral.